AUACAAGUGUAGGUGUCCAAGGCAUCCAAGUAUGGUAUAUUUGGCCUAAUUGAACUGGCAGGAAUCCCAAGGUAUGCCUUUGCAAAAGGCUAGGUUAGACAGCCUCCACAAAAUACACAUCACAUCCAGCCAAGAGAUCAAUUUGUCCUCAAUUUACACUCUUCUGAAUAAAAACAAAAUCAAAGAAGAGCACUAGUGCCCAAAAAGCUUCUUUUGAUCUCUGCCCAGGAAAACAGCAUCCCUACUUCACUCAGUGGUUUCUCUUCCUCAGAUGCCGCAAUGCCGGGGAGAGACUAGAAGUGCAGGUAAAAUGGCAUGUGAGCUCCUCCACCAUUUUUGGCAGUCCUUGCUGCUGGGAGACUUCAGAGGACCAGGACACACACUUUUGGAAGAGCUUCUGUUGGCAGGAGGCGAUGCAGUGCUUUGGGUCUCUCCACAUCCCCAGGGGUAGGCACCGAGCUGAAGGAACCUGCCACUCGCCUGGGAGGAGGCAGCGAAGGAAAGACCCCCAGGUGGACACAGAGGGCUCCAAGCAGCCUGUCACCAUCUCUGCAGAAAGUUCCCUGCUGCCUCAGGGCCUGAAGGAUAGACCAAGAGUUUUCCAUCCAGGGAGAAAACUCCUUAACAGGAAUGAUUAGAGAAGAGGAGACAUCUGCUCAGUACAGAUCACACUGAACACAAGUUAUCAUCUUCAAAGAACAAACGGUGUCUGGAAAACCAUCGUUUGAAAGAAAACGUGCUAUCAAAGAGGCAUUCUGUCUAACUUUCAAAGAACAAAAUCAGUUAGAUGAAACUUAACUUCAACUUAAAUCAAAAUAUCCCACUUUUUGUAAUAGCAACUGCUUCUUGUAUCACCUGCCUACAGCUGCAAGGGAGAAGAGGGUGGCAGGAAAGCAAAUAUAGAAAAUAGUUUGGGACAGUCUGCAUGGGACUGAGUACUGCAGCGGCACACAAUAUAAACAUUGCUGGCUUGUUGUUCAAAGGUAUGAGUGUCCCUGACUACACUAUUCCCAGCAUAGGAAGGAUACGGAACUAUUGAGGUGGGUCCAGAGGAGGGCUGCAAAGUUGAUCAGAAGGCUGGAGCACCGCCCCCAUGAGGAUACACUGAUAGAGCUGGGGUUGUACAGCCUGGAUAAGAAAAGGCUCUGAGGAGAUCUUAUAUCAGCCUUCCAGUACCUGAAAGGGGCUAAAGGAAAGAUGAAGAGGGACUUUUUACAAGGGCAUGUAGUUGUAGGACUAGGGGGAAUGGCUUUAAAUUGGAAGGGGAAAAAAAUUAGAUUAGACAUUAGGAAGAAGUUCUUCACAAUGAGGGUAGCAAGACACUGGCAGAGGUUGCCCAGGGAAGCUGGGGAUGCCCUGUCCAUGGAGGUAUUCAAGGCCAGGUUGGAUGGGACCUUGGGCAGCCUGAUCUAAUGGGACGUGUUCCUGCCCAUGGCAGGGGAGCGUUGUAACUGAAUGAUCUUUAAAGUCCCUUCCAACCCAAACCAUUCUAUGGUUCUAUUCAAGAGAGUGGCAGGCACGAGUGCUUAGCACCCCUAAAAAUCAGACCAAGAUAGACCAAGAUAUCUCUUAUGGGAGUAAGGCAGUUCCUGGAGUUGGGGACCCACAAUACUAUAGAAUAUAAGAAUCACCAAGAAGUGUCAUUUUAGGGUCACAAGCUUAAGUAAUUACAGCCCUUGGGGCUACACAGAAAAUCAAAUGAGUCAAAAUCCAGCACACUAGAUAUCAACUGUGCAUGUAGAGGGUGGAAAAUGAGGAAAGGAGUCCUUUAAAGGUUUUUGGUGGUCAUCUGGGGAAAGGAUCAAAGCAGAGAGUAUACACAGAUAGAUUCCUUCCACAUGCUCAACACUCUG
Long non-coding RNA from Cuculus canorus (common cuckoo), 1853 nucleotides. RefSeq lists it as uncharacterized. The transcript has 3 exons. Lineage: Eukaryota; Metazoa; Chordata; Aves; Cuculiformes; Cuculidae. The record is from RefSeq and is a predicted model, not a curated record.